GACGAACGCUGGCGGCGUGCUUAACACAUGCAAGUCGAACGGUAAGGCCCCAGCUUGCUGGGGUACACGAGUGGCGAACGGGUGAGUAACACGUGGGUGACCUGCCCCGCACUUCGGGAUAAGCCUGGGAAACUGGGUCUAAUACCGGAUAGGACCGCACCGUGAGGGUGUGGUGGAAAGUUUUUCGGUGUGGGAUGGGCCCGCGGCCUAUCAGCUUGGUGGUGGGGUAAUGGCCUACCAAGGCGGCGACGGGUAGCCGGCCUGAGAGGGUGGACGGCCACAUUGGGACUGAGAAACGGACCAGACUCCUACGGGAGGCAGCAGUGAGGAAUAUUGCACAAUGGGCGGAAGCCUGAUGCAGCGACGCCGCGUGGGGGAUGACGGCCUUCGGGUUGUAAACUCCUUUCACCAUCGACGAAGGUUUUCUGACGGUAGAUGGAGAAGAAGCACCGGCUAACUACGUG
RNAcentral lists this ribosomal RNA (464 nucleotides) under uncultured bacterium. RNAcentral's name for it is "partial 16S ribosomal RNA". It matches the Rfam family "Bacterial small subunit ribosomal RNA", at positions 28 to 507 of the family's 1533-position model. The record is from RNAcentral.